This 57-nucleotide transfer RNA is filed under the name Ovis aries (sheep). It matches the Rfam family "tRNA", at positions 8 to 63 of the family's 71-position model. From Rfam's summary of the family: Transfer RNA (tRNA) molecules are approximately 80 nucleotides in length. The record is from Rfam by way of RNAcentral. Lineage: Eukaryota; Metazoa; Chordata; Mammalia; Artiodactyla; Bovidae. RNAcentral also lists the same sequence under 1 other name.
UAGCUCAGAUGGUAAAGAAUCUGCCUGCAAUGCAGGAGAUCCAGGUUCAAUCCCUGG